AUGGGCAGCGCGCUGGAGACGCUAUGCGGGCAAGCGGUGGGCGCGGGGCAGGUGGACAUGCUUGGCGUCUACAUCCAGCGCUCCUGGAUCAUCUGCGGCGCCACCGCGCUGGCACUCGCGCCGACCUAUGUCUUCACGCCGCCCAUCCUGCUGGCGCUCCACCAGCCCACCGCCAUCUCCGUCGUUGCCGGGCGGUAUACACAAUUGGUCGUCCUGCAGUUGUUCGCCUACGCCGCCAAUUUCCCGCUGCAGAAGUUCUUCCAGGCGCAGAGCAAGGUCUGGGCCAUGACCUUCAUCUCCGGCGCGGGGCUCGCCCUCCACAUCGUGCUCAACUACGUCUUCGUCACGCGCCUUGGUCAUGGCCUCUUCGGCGCCGCCAUGAUCGGGAAUGUCACCUGGUGGAUCAUCAUUGUUGCGCAGUUCGCCUACCUCGUCUCCGGCUGCUUCCCGGAGGCAUGGAAGGGGUUCUCCAUGCUCGCCUUCAAUAACCUCGCCGCCUUCGUCAAGUUGUCCCUCGCCUCCGCCGUCAUGCUCUGCUUGGAGCUGUGGUACUACAGUGCAGUGCUCAUCCUUGUGGGUCUCCUAAAGAAUGCUCAACUCCAGGUUGACAUCAUGUCCGUUUGCAUCAAUUACCAGCUCUGGACCCUUAUGGUGGCAAUAGGCUUCAAUGCAGCAGUGAGCGUUAGGGUGUCCAACGAGCUGGGCGCGAACAGGCCUAAGGCAGCUAAGUUCUCCAUGAUCAUAGCGGUGUCCACGUCCGCCGCCAUCGGGGCGGUCUUCCUGGCCGUGUUCCUCAUCUGGAGGACCGAGCUGCCACGGUUCUUCAGCGACAACAACAGGGUGGGGGGGGGGGAGCUGCAAAGCUUGGCUACCUUCUUGCAGCAUGCAUCUUCCUCAACAGCAUCCAGCCUGUGCUCUCAGGCACGUACCAUUACCCCAAUUGGUUACCAAAUUAACCUAGUGAUCCCAAUGACAAUUGGAACAUGUCGCUUUGCAGGUGUGGCGAUAGGAGCAGGGUGGCAGACGCUUGUGGCGUUCAUAAACAUUGUGUGCUACUACUUGUUUGGCAUCCCACUGGGAGUCCUCUUUGGCUUCAAGCUAAAACUUGGUGCAUUGGGGAUUUGGGUGGGCAUGUCAAUUGGCACGCUGCUGCAGACUGCUAUACUGAUCACAAUUUGCUUCCGAGCCAAGUGGGAGAAUCAGGCAAUGUUGGCCGAAGAGAGGAUAAGGAAGUGGGGAGGAAGCAGUGAAACAUUGCCGGCAGCCACAACAACGGCGAUAAACGAUAUCGUAGAUCAAUAA
Molecule: ribosomal RNA, 1302 nt
Filed under: Triticum aestivum (bread wheat)
Lineage: Eukaryota; Viridiplantae; Streptophyta; Magnoliopsida; Poales; Poaceae
Description: partial small subunit ribosomal RNA
Source: RNAcentral